Molecule: ribosomal RNA, 127 nt
Filed under: Pogona vitticeps (central bearded dragon)
Lineage: Eukaryota; Metazoa; Chordata; Lepidosauria; Squamata; Agamidae
Source: RNAcentral
AGCAAAGGCCAUUCCCCCGAACCACCUUGAACAGAUCCGCUCUCAUGUUGAUUCAGAAGCUAAGCCGGGUCGAGCUUGGCUCCUAGUUAGAUGGGAGACCACCUGGGAAUACCAGGGACCUUCAUGU